GCUGGCGAUGAUGACACACUUGCCCUCACUGAGGUCCCGAGCAGGGAUUGUUGCUGAGAACUUUCUCUGUACUCAUGGGCUGAGCCUCC
Molecule: small nucleolar RNA, 89 nt
Organism: Dromaius novaehollandiae (emu)
Lineage: Eukaryota; Metazoa; Chordata; Aves; Casuariiformes; Dromaiidae
Source: Ensembl